RNAcentral lists this ribosomal RNA (492 nucleotides) under uncultured bacterium. RNAcentral's name for it is "partial 16S ribosomal RNA". It matches the Rfam family "Bacterial small subunit ribosomal RNA", at positions 29 to 507 of the family's 1533-position model. The record is from RNAcentral.
AGUGAACGCUGGCGGUAGGCCUAACACAUGCAAGUCGAACGGCAGCACAGUAAGAGCUUGCUCUUACGGGUGGCGAGUGGCGGACGGGUGAGGAAUACAUCGGAAUCUACUUUUUCGUGGGGGAUAACGUAGGGAAACUUACGCUAAUACCGCAUACGACCUACGGGUGAAAGCAGGGGAUCUUCGGACCUUGCGCGACUGAAUGAGCUGAUGUCGGAUUAGCUAGUUGGCGGGGUAAAGGCCCACCAAGGCGACGAUCCGUAGCUGGUCUGAGAGGAUGAUCAGCCACACUGGAACUGAGACACGGUCCAGACUCCUACGGGAGGCAGCAGUGGGGAAUAUUGGACAAUGGGCGCAAGCCUGAUCCAGCCAUACCGCGUGGGUGAAGAAGGCCUUCGGGUUGUAAAGCCCUUUUGUUGGGAAAGAAAAGCAGCAGGUUAAUACCCCGCUGUUCUGACGGUACCCAAAGAAUAAGCACCGGCUAACUUCGUG